UUGACCUCAGAUCGGGUGGGACUGCCCGCUGAACUUAAGCAUAUCAAUAAGCGGAGGA
This 58-nucleotide ribosomal RNA is filed under the name uncultured fungus. Its description in RNAcentral is "partial 28S ribosomal RNA". It matches the Rfam family "Eukaryotic large subunit ribosomal RNA", at positions 1 to 57 of the family's 3401-position model. Lineage: Eukaryota; Fungi. The record is from RNAcentral.